AAUAUUGGACAAUGGGCGAAAGCCUGAUCCAGCCAUGCCGCGUGUGUGAAGAUGGUCUUCGGAUUGUAAAGCACUUUAAGUGGGGGGGAAGGGCAGUACGUUAAUACUUUGCUGGUUUUCCGUUACCGACAGAAUAAUCACCGGCUAACUUCGUGCCAGCAUCCGGGGUAAUACGAAGGGUGCAAGCGUUAAUCGGAAUUAAUGGGCGUAAAGCGCGCGUAGGUGGUUUGUUAAGCUGGAAGUGAAAGCCCCGAGCGAAACCUGGGAACUACUUUCAAAACUGGCAAGCUAGAGUAUGGCAGAGGGUGGUGGAAUUUCCUGUGUAGCGGUGAAAUGCGUAGAUAUAGGAAGGAACACCAGUGGCGAAGGCGACCACCUGGGCUCAUACUGACACUGAGGUGCGAAAGCGUGGGGAGCAAAC
RNAcentral lists this ribosomal RNA (421 nucleotides) under uncultured bacterium. RNAcentral's name for it is "partial 16S ribosomal RNA". It matches the Rfam family "Bacterial small subunit ribosomal RNA", at positions 360 to 773 of the family's 1533-position model. The record is from RNAcentral.